ACUCGAGUCUUUGACGCAAGUUGCGCCUGAAGCCAUUAGGUUGAGGGCACGCCUGCCUGGGUGUCACACAUUGUCACCCCAAUGCAAAUGUGCAUUGAGGUGAAAGUUGGCUUCCCGCGAGGCAUUCCUCGUGGUUGGUUGAAAACGAAGUUAAUCGCGAAGUCCCUCGUCAUAAAUGGUGGAUGAGUAAAUCUCGAGACCAAUCGUGACUGUGGUACUUUGGGGAUGUAAUUGGUUGGCUCUGUUGUGUUUUCCGUUCAUGUUGAAGAAGACGCUUUUAUCGAGACCUCAGGUCAGGCGGGGCUACCCGCUGAGUUUAAGCAUAUCAAUAAGCGGAGGAAAAGAAACUAACAAGGAUUCCCCUAGUAACGGCGAGCGAACCGGGAACAGCCCAUCAUGAGAAUCGAUCGCCUUCGGUGUUCGAAUUGUAGCAGA
RNAcentral lists this ribosomal RNA (435 nucleotides) under Vigna lobatifolia. RNAcentral's name for it is "eukaryotic LSU rRNA". The stretch from base 284 to 435 matches the Rfam family "Eukaryotic large subunit ribosomal RNA", at positions 1 to 152 of the family's 3401-position model. RNAcentral also lists the same sequence under 1 other name. Lineage: Eukaryota; Viridiplantae; Streptophyta; Magnoliopsida; Fabales; Fabaceae. The record is from RNAcentral.